This is a long non-coding RNA of Brassica napus (rape), 568 nucleotides long. RefSeq lists it as uncharacterized. The transcript has 3 exons. Lineage: Eukaryota; Viridiplantae; Streptophyta; Magnoliopsida; Brassicales; Brassicaceae. The record is from RefSeq and is a predicted model, not a curated record.
GGACGGUACAACUAGAGCGCCUAUUGUCCGGUUUUUGUCGUGCCAACGUGCUAUGGAACUUAAGCCUUCCUAGGAGAAUCCAGAUCACUUCGAAACGUCGGCUGUCAUUUUCAACAGAUUUGCGAGGCUACAAACUGGUCACUGUACAUUGGCAGGAAAAAAAUGGCUAUGUAUGGUUCAGUUGUAACACCGGUGUGGUGCAAUGGGGAUGAACAUGGUAACCAAAGGUGUGCAUAAUGUUAUUGAGUUCCUCAGCGAUGAUUCCCCUGACAUGGAUGUGAUCGGAAUCUCUGAUAACUUCUUCUCCGACAUUAACAAACCUGCUGCAAUGAACUGCAUCGAGGGACCUGGCAGUAAUUAAAAGAGAGAUAGAGAACAAGGUGUUGAAAAUGAGUGUGUCUGUGUGUCUGGCUUGGUGGAGCUCAAUAUACUCAAGAACCUCACCGUCUAUGUUGUUGCAGGCUCUCUAGGUCGAUUCAAAUCUCAUGCCAGCAACAUAGUGUUUGAUGUAUUCAUAGCUACUUGCCAAGAUCCAGCCCAAAACAUGGAGAGCUCUCAAAUUGAUGGA